RNAcentral lists this ribosomal RNA (441 nucleotides) under uncultured bacterium. RNAcentral describes it as "partial 16S ribosomal RNA". It matches the Rfam family "Bacterial small subunit ribosomal RNA", at positions 339 to 795 of the family's 1533-position model. The record is from RNAcentral.
CUACGGGGUGCUGCAGUGGGGAAUAUUGGGCAAUGGGCGCAAGCCUGACCCAGCAACGCCGCGUGAGGGAAGAAGGUUUUCGGAUUGUAAACCUCUGUCCUUGGGGACGAAGAAGUGACGGUACCCAAGGAGGAAGCUCCGGCUAACUACGUGCCAGCAGCCGCGGUAAUACGUAGGGAGCAAGCGUUGUCCGGAAUUACUGGGCGUAAAGGGUGCGUAGGCGGCAUAUUAAGUCAGGUGUGAAAUACUCGGGCUCAACCCGGGGGCUGCAUUUGAAACUGAUAUGCUUGAGUGUGAGAGAGGAAAGUGGAAUUCCUAGUGUAGCGGUGGAAUGCGUAGAUAUUAGGAGGAGCACCAGUGGCGAAGGCGACUUUCUGGCUCAUAACUGACGCUGAGGCACGAAAGCGUGGGGAGCAAACAGGAUUAGAUACCCGAGUAGUC